Molecule: regulatory RNA element, 44 nt
Rfam family: Ribosomal protein L19 leader
About the family: This family is a putative r-protein leader autoregulatory structure found in B. subtilis and other low-GC Gram-positive bacteria.
Source: Rfam
ACGAUGUUCCGCUGUCUAUUUAACUAUGUACACAAGAGCAUCUG